RNAcentral lists this ribosomal RNA (490 nucleotides) under uncultured bacterium. RNAcentral describes it as "partial 16S ribosomal RNA". It matches the Rfam family "Bacterial small subunit ribosomal RNA", at positions 30 to 507 of the family's 1533-position model. The record is from RNAcentral.
AUUGAACGCUGGCGGCAGGCCUAACACAUGCAAGUCGAACGGUAACAGGAAGAAGCUUGCUUCUUUGCUGACGAGUGGAGGACGGGUGAGUAAUGUCUGGGAAACUGCCUGAUGGAGGGGGAUAACUACUGGAAACGGUAGCUACUACCGCAUAACGUCGCAAGACCAAAAAGGGGGACCUUCGGGCCUCUUGCCAUCGGAUGUGCCCAGAUGGGAUUAGCUAGUAGGUGGGGUAACGGCUCACCUAGGCGACGAUCCCUAGCUGGUCUGAGAGGAUGACCAGCCACACUGGAACUGAGACACGGCCCAGACUCCUACGGGAGGCAGCAGUGGGGAAUAUUGGACAAUGGGCGCAAGCCUGAUGCAGCCAUGCCGCGUGUAUGAAGAAGGCCUUCGGGUUGUAAAGUACUUUCAGCGGGGAGGAAGGGAGUAAAGUUAAUACCUGUGCUCAUUGACGGUACCCGCAGAAGAAGCACCGGCUAACUCCGUG